UACGAAGGGGGCUAGCGUUGAUCGGAAUCACUGGGCGUAAAGGGUGCGUAGGCGGGCCUUUAAGUCUGGGGUGAAAUCCUGGAGCUCAACUCCAGAACUGCCUUUGAUACUGAAGAUCUUGAGUUCGGGAGAGGUGAGUGGAACUGCGAGUGUAGAGGUGAAAUUCGUAGAUAUUCGCAAGAACACCAGUGGCGAAGGCGGCUCACUGGCACGAUACUGACGCUGAGGCACGAAAGCCAGGGGAGCAAACGGG
This 253-nucleotide ribosomal RNA is filed under the name uncultured bacterium. RNAcentral describes it as "partial 16S ribosomal RNA". It matches the Rfam family "Bacterial small subunit ribosomal RNA", at positions 524 to 776 of the family's 1533-position model. The record is from RNAcentral.